Molecule: ribosomal RNA, 753 nt
Filed under: uncultured archaeon
Lineage: Archaea
Description: bacterial SSU rRNA
Rfam family: Archaeal small subunit ribosomal RNA
Source: RNAcentral
GGAGAAAAAUAACCUCGGGAAACUGAGGAUAAUGUUUCAUAGUUGAAUAGGCUUGGAAAAGUUUUUCAAUGAAAGGGAUAAGAAAAAUGGUUCUUAUUUGCCAUAGGAUAGGAUCGUGGUCGAUUAUGGUUGUUGGUGAGGUAACGGCUCACCAAGCCGAUAAUCGAUAGGGGCCGUGAGAGCGGGAGCCCCGAGAUGGGUACUGAGACAACGACCCAGGCCUUACGAGGCGCAGCAGGUGCGGAACCUCCGCAAUACACGAAAGUGUGACGGGGUUACCCAAAGUGUUCAUUAUUGAACUGUGGUAGGUGAGUAAUGUCCCCUACUAGAAAGGAGAGGGCAAGGCUGGUGUCAGCCGCCGCGGUAAAACCAGCUCUUCAAGUGGUCGGGAUGAUUAUUGGGCUUAAAGUGUCCGUAGCCGGUUUAGUAAGUUCCUGGUAAAAUCGGGUAGCUUAACUAUCCGUAUGCUAGGAAUACUGCUAUACUAGAGGGCGGGAGAGGUCUGAGGUACUAUAGGGGUAGGGGUGAAAUCCUAUAAUCCUUAUAGGACCACCAGUGGCGAAGGCGUCAGACUGGAACGCGCCUGACGGUGAGGGACGAAAGCCAGGGGAGCGAACCGGAUUAGAUACCCGGGUAGUCCUGGCCGUAAACGAUGCAUACUAGGUGAUGGCAUGGCCAUGAGCCGUGUCAGUGCCGUAGGGAAACCGUUAAGUAUGCCGCCUGGGAAGUACGGUCGCAAGGCUAAAACUUAAA